GCCAAUAGGGCUGCUAUAGCAGGCUACUUUGAUAUAGUAGAUUGUAAAUGUAUAUUUCGUUGGUA
This 65-nucleotide transfer RNA is filed under the name Nippotaenia chaenogobii. RNAcentral describes it as "tRNA-Ile". The record is from RNAcentral. Lineage: Eukaryota; Metazoa; Platyhelminthes; Cestoda; Nippotaeniidea; Nippotaeniidae.